Molecule: ribosomal RNA, 192 nt
Filed under: Triticum aestivum (bread wheat)
Lineage: Eukaryota; Viridiplantae; Streptophyta; Magnoliopsida; Poales; Poaceae
Description: partial small subunit ribosomal RNA
Source: RNAcentral
CUUUGGAGGUUGAGAAUACCUCUAAAAGUAAAAGCGUUUAUAUGGUUAGUGAUCAAAGGGAGGAUCCUAACCAAGGAUAACUUAUCUAGACGAGGGUGGAAAGGACCAAAUUUCUGCGAGUUUUGUGGCGUUUCUGAGAGCAUUGAUCAUCUAUUCUUUUCGUGCUCUUGUGCUAGGUUUUAUGGAAUGUGA